Molecule: ribosomal RNA, 188 nt
Filed under: uncultured bacterium
Lineage: Bacteria
Description: partial 16S ribosomal RNA
Rfam family: Bacterial small subunit ribosomal RNA
Source: RNAcentral
GCUGCAACUCGCCUACAUGAAGUCGGAAUCGCUAGUAAUCGCGGAUCAGCAUGCCGCGGUGAAUACGUUCCCGGGCCUUGUACACACCGCCCGUCAAGCCAUGGAAGCCGGGAGUGCCUGAAGUGCGUGAGCGCAAGCAGCGCCCUAAGGUAAAACCGGUGACUGGGGCUAAGUCGUAACAAGGUAUC